RNAcentral lists this ribosomal RNA (289 nucleotides) under uncultured bacterium. RNAcentral's name for it is "partial 16S ribosomal RNA". It matches the Rfam family "Bacterial small subunit ribosomal RNA", at positions 337 to 624 of the family's 1533-position model. The record is from RNAcentral.
UCCUACGGGACGCAGCAGUGAGGAAUAUUGGUCAAUGGCCGGAAGGCUGAACCAGCCAAGCCGCGUGAGGGAGGAAGGCGCAGAGCGUCGCAGACCUCUUUUGCCGGGGGACAAAAGGCCGGACUCGUCCGGUCCUGAGGGUACCCGGAGAAAAAGCAUCGGCUAACUCCGUGCCAGCAGCCGCGGUAAUACGGAGGAUGCGAGCGUUAUCCGGAUUUAUUUGGUUUAAAGGGUGCGUAGGCGGACGCUUAAGUCAGCGGUAAAAUUGCGGGGGUCAACCUCGUCGAGC